CUCCUAAAGAGUAACGGAGGAGCACGAAGGUUGGCUAAUCCUGGUCGGACAUCAGGAGGUUAGUGCAAUGGCAUAAGCCAGCUUGACUGCGAGCGUGACGGCGCGAGCAGGUGCGAAAGCAGGUCAUAGUGAUCCGGUGGUUCUGAAUGGAAGGGCCAUCGCUCAACGGAUAAAAGGUACUCCGGGGAUAACAGGCUGAUACCGCCCAAGAGUUCAUAUCGACGGCGGUGUUUGGCACCUCGAUGUCGGCUCAUCACAUCCUGGGGCUGAAGUAGGUCCCAAGGGUAUGGCUGUUCGCCAUUUAAAGUGGUACGCGAGCUGGGUUUAGAACGUCGUGAGACAGUUCGGUCCCUAUCUGCCGUGGGCGCUGGAGAACUGAGGGGGGCUGCUCCUAGUACGAGAGGACCGGAGUGGACGCAUCACUGGUGUUCGGGUUGUCAUGCCAAUGGCACUGCCCGGUAGCUAAAUGCGGAAGAGA
Molecule: ribosomal RNA, 478 nt
Filed under: Escherichia coli
Lineage: Bacteria; Pseudomonadati; Pseudomonadota; Gammaproteobacteria; Enterobacterales; Enterobacteriaceae
Description: partial 23S ribosomal RNA
Rfam family: Bacterial large subunit ribosomal RNA
Source: RNAcentral